RNAcentral lists this ribosomal RNA (1143 nucleotides) under Triticum aestivum (bread wheat). RNAcentral's name for it is "partial small subunit ribosomal RNA". The record is from RNAcentral. Lineage: Eukaryota; Viridiplantae; Streptophyta; Magnoliopsida; Poales; Poaceae.
AUGGCUACUUGGCUCUCAGACCUUGACAUUGCCAUUGCCGUCGUUGUGGUCGAUCUGCUCGUCGAUGUUCCUGACGGGUCCCGUGAACCACUUCCUGGCGUCGACGACCCACCAGAGCAUGAUCAAACCCAGGACGACGCCGAGCGCGAUGGGCGCGUAGUUGAAGGUGUCCAUCUUGAUGGGGUACACGGUGGGAAGCAGGAAGACGGAGCAGGUGUAGCAGAUCCACAGGAACGCCACGAGGCAGACGGGCCGGCUGGCUCCCCGGAGGUAGAAGGGGCCGGGGCGGAAGUCCUCCUCCCGCAUCACCAUCCGGGCGAAGAUGGGCACCGCGUAGCCCCCCACCCAGCCGAUGGUGGCGAUGGAGGUGAUGGCCGUGAACACCACGUUGAUCCACAGGAUGGGCAGGCCCAGCAGCGCGCACACGGCGGCGCACAGCCACACGGCGUUCCCGGGCACCUUGCGCGUGGGGUGGAUCUUGCGCCACACGCUGGAGAAGGGGACGCCGCGGUCGCGCGACAGCGCGUACACCACCCGGGCGGCGCUGGUGGUGAUGGAGAGGCCGCCGAAGAAGAAGGAGCCCCAGAUGAUGAAGAGCAGCACGAUGGCGCCCGUGGAGCUGCCGUACCGGCCGUGGAACGCGUCGUAGAGUAUCUGCGCCGGGACGAAGGUGCCGGCUGUCUCGUUGGUGGGGUCGUACAGGUAGCUGAAGUCCUGGAUGCUGAAGGUGAGGGCGAGGAUGUAGACCCAGCCGAAGACGGUGAUGAUGCCGAUGCUGGAGAGGAUGGCGAUGGGGCCGUUCUUGUCGGCGCCCUUGGUCUCCUCCGUCAGGUGCGCCGCCGCGUCGUACCCGUACAGGGAGUACUGGCUCACCAGGAGGGACAGGACCACCGCGUAGGCGCCGCUGCUGAUCCCGGUCACCUCCGGCGUCGUCUCGAAGUGCGUGAACACGUACGACGCCGGCUGCGUCGUCUUCGCCACCAGCGGCAGCAUGAUCACUAUGACCGUGCCGCCGACCACCUGCACAGCAUGGAGAUGACGUCGAGGAAUGCGAUGACUUCCAAGGCGAAAGUGUUGAACACGGCCCAGAUGAAGGUUAACCCAAGGUACAUGACGAGGAACAGCCAGCGAGGGGCCAGGUAG